Molecule: ribosomal RNA, 1442 nt
Filed under: uncultured organism
Description: SSU rRNA
Rfam family: Bacterial small subunit ribosomal RNA
Source: RNAcentral
ACGCUGGCGGCGUGCUUAACACAUGCAAGUCGAACGGAAAGGCCCUGCUUUUGUGGGGUGCUCGAGUGGCGAACGGGUGAGUAACACGUGAGUAACCUGCCCUUGACUUUGGGAUAACUUCAGGAAACUGGGGCUAAUACCGGAUAGGAGCUCCUGCUGCAUGGUGGGGGUUGGAAAGUUUCGGCGGUUGGGGAUGGACUCGCGGCUUAUCAGCUUGUUGGUGGGGUAGUGGCUUACCAAGGCUUUGACGGGUAGCCGGCCUGAGAGGGUGACCGGCCACAUUGGGACUGAGAUACGGCCCAGACUCCUACGGGAGGCAGCAGUGGGGAAUAUUGCACAAUGGGCGGAAGCCUGAUGCAGCAACGCCGCGUGCGGGAUGACGGCCUUCGGGUUGUAAACCGCUUUCGCCUGUGACGAAGCGUGAGUGACGGUAAUGGGUAAAGAAGCACCGGCUAACUACGUGCCAGCAGCCGCGGUGAUACGUAGGGUGCGAGCGUUGUCCGGAUUUAUUGGGCGUAAAGGGCUCGUAGGUGGUUGAUCGCGUCGGAAGUGUAAUCUUGGGGCUUAACCCUGAGCGUGCUUUCGAUACGGGUUGACUUGAGGAAGGUAGGGGAGAAUGGAAUUCCUGGUGGAGCGGUGGAAUGCGCAGAUAUCAGGAGGAACACCAGUGGCGAAGGCGGUUCUCUGGGCCUUUCCUGACGCUGAGGAGCGAAAGCGUGGGGAGCGAACAGGCUUAGAUACCCUGGUAGUCCACGCUGUAAACGGUGGGUACUAGGUGUGGGGUCCAUUCCACGGGUUCCGUGCCGUAGCUAACGCUUUAAGUACCCCGCCUGGGGAGUACGGCCGCAAGGCUAAAACUCAAAGGAAUUGACGGGGCCCCGCACAAGCGGCGGAGCAUGCGGAUUAAUUCGAUGCAACGCGUAGAACCUUACCUGGGUUUGACAUGGAUCGGGAGCGCUCAGAGAUGGGUGUGCCUCUUUUGGGGUCGGUUCACAGGUGGUGCAUGGCUGUCGUCAGCUCGUGUCGUGAGAUGUUGGGUUAAGUCCCGCAACGAGCGCAACCCUUGUUCACUGUUGCCAGCACGUUAUGGUGGGGACUCAGUGGAGACCGCCGGGGUCAACUCGGAGGAAGGUGGGGAUGACGUCAAGUCAUCAUGCCCCUUAUGUCCAGGGCUUCACGCAUGCUACAAUGGCUGGUACAGAGAGUGGCGAGCCUGUGAGGGUGAGCGAAUCUCGGAAAGCCGGUCUCAGUUCGGAUUGGGGUCUGCAACUCGACCUCAUGAAGUCGGAGUCGCUAGUAAUCGCAGAUCAGCAACGCUGCGGUGAAUACGUUCCCGGGGCUUGUACACACCGCCCGUCAAGUCAUGAAAGUUGGUAACACCCGAAGCCGGUGGCCUAACCGUUGUGGGGGAGCCGUCGAAGGUGGGACUGGUGAUUAGGACU